AUCGUUUGUUUCUAUGUCCAGAGACAAGUACAGUACAGUGUUCUUAUUUGUUUGCUCCCCCUUUUAAAAUGUUUAAUAGCUUAUGAUCGCUUCUCAUAGCUCCUUUCUUUAUGAAAAAUAACAUGAAAAUAGAAAAGUUGUGCUAAGUAUACUUUUUGUAUAUAUUCUAGACUUAUCAGAUGUAGACUUCCUAGAUGAUUCUUCAACGGAGAGUUUGCUUCUGAGUGGGGAUGAAUACAAUCAGGACUUUGAUUCAACCAAUUUUGAGGAAUCUCAGGAUGAGGAUGAAGCUCUUAAUGAAAUUGUGCGAUGUAUUUGUGAGAUGGAUGAGGAGAAUGGCUUCAUGAUCCAGUGUGAAGAGUGCUUGUGUUGGCAGCACAGCGUGUGCAUGGGACUGCUGGAGGAGAGCAUUCCAGAGCAGUACAUCUGCUAUAUCUGCCGGGACCCACCAGGUAAG
Molecule: small RNA, 457 nt
Filed under: Pongo abelii (Sumatran orangutan)
Lineage: Eukaryota; Metazoa; Chordata; Mammalia; Primates; Hominidae
Description: retained intron
Source: RNAcentral